UUUUUUUUUUUCUUCUUUUCAACUUCCUCCAUAUGCUUUUUAGGUGAUUGCAUUAUGCUUGUUUGGCAUCAUGGAUCUACAAUUCAACCUUGCAAAUGCCCACUAUGUCGUCGUCAAAUUAAAUUGUUGGUCCCUAGUGAAACUUCACAAAGGGAGCGUCAUAACCCUGAGGUUGCUGAGAUUUUGCAAAAGGUUCAAGCUUAUAAUCGUCUUUUUGGUGGACAAACUAAUGGUCUCAUUCAGGUUUGUGCAUUUACUAGCUAUGAUAUCUCUAGCACGUUAUCAUCUAGCUAUUAUUUCCUGGAGAAAAGAACCAGAACAUGAUCAAGAUUUAACAACCAAAAAUUGGAGUUUGAUUGACACAUAAAUUUUGAUGCUAAUGAGGGUAUGUCAUGCAUAUAGUUUCUUUUCUUUUCCCCUUAUCUCCUCACUCAUUACAGGCUAAACAGUUCCCAUAUUAUGAAUUAAAUAUAGAUUUACCUGCUUUUAAACCAUCCAGUCCAUAUUCAACUUUAUCAUCCAUUUUUCCAUGCUGUAUUUUUGUGCAAUGUUGUUGCUUUCCUAAACAUUGGAUUUGCUGGUUUCUUUGCUGAAAAAGAGAAAUUUGUUGUUUCACUUCAUUUUUAUGUGGUCUCAGUUUGCACUAUUUCAUUUAGGUUUUUUUUCAUUAUGUUGAUGACAAGGGAGGCAUGAUUUACAUUGUCAUCUACUAUAUUUUCUUUUUCUUUUUCUUUUUUUUUUUUGCUAUUUCUCAUCUGUGGAUAACCUUUGUCCGAAAACUCUCAAAAUAUGUUGGUACUGUGAUUUACAAUGUCUUGCUGUUAAUAACAAAAAUUGCACAGUUGUGGGGAUUUAACCUCAAUCGUUUGUAGGUACCUUACCGAGUUUUACAUUGAAUUUGUUGGUGAGGUAAAGUUUCGCUUUGUGAGGAAAUUGAUGUCUAUUUGUCUAUUGAUAUCAAUGUUACUUAUUGCAUUUAUCAUUUCAUUGAUAUGCAAAACCAUUUUGGAGCUUUACAAAUAGUUUGAGAUGCCAACCGUAGAAAGUAACAAACUCAAGUUUAGACUGUACUUUGAUUUAUUUUGUGGACCUGACCUUGUUCAUAUAAUAAUUCCCCUGUGCUUACUAUGAAUGUUUUAUGUUUUUCUUGUAUUUUUUUUCUCAAAUGUCUUGUCCAUUUAUAAUUGAUUUUCAUGGUUAAAAUUUUGUCCAACUGAACCAAGUAGUUGGAGUUUUUGGCAUUGUCUUCUUCCUUGGACAGCUAGUUAUGAAGUUGUGAGUUAUCUCGAACACAGACACACACACACAUGCACAAAUAGCAAUAGAAAUAGAAAAAGGGUGGAGAAGAACAGGGCUGAUUGGUGAUAUUAGAUCAUACAGCAACAACCACCACCAAGCCUUACUCCCAAAUUAGUUGAGGUUGAUUAUUUGAAUCCUUUUUCGCCAUUCACCGCUAUUUAGACCAGUUCCUGAUUAAUUUUCGAAUGACGUUAGAUUACAACACACACAAAUUUAUAGGUUUUUUUAUCAUAUAUUAUGAAUUCUUUUUUCACAUAUAUUAUGAAGUAGCUAUUUAAGUGUGAUGCUCGAAGCUGAUUAUGAAACAUGUAUCCUCUUAUCCACAGAGAAUGCAAGACCUUCCCUUUCUGCUAAAAAGGUUGUUAAGGGAAAUUAUGGAUCCUCAAAGGUCACUUCCUCUUGUCAUCAGGGCACGUGUCUACAUUGCAGUUAAGUAAUUGGCAACUUUACUGUAAGAAUUAUGUUUUCCCUUGCAUUGUAGUCUUUUAGAUCUCACAUAAUGUUAAGGGCUAUAGAAAGGCUUCAUUCCUGAAAGCUUGUAGAAAGCAUAAGCAGCUGCAAUUUUUCUAAAAAGAAUUACAUGAGCAUAAGUAUUGAUGUUAAGCAUAAUGGGUAGGAAUUUUUGUUCAAGCUCGUGCUAAGAAAAUAAGGAUGUCAAGCAGCUCAAGUCUUGAUUUCGAUCAAUUGUAGCCUAGUGAUUUUCUAUAUAGCAUGCUGCCAUCCUGUUGGAUAGCUUACAUCUCCCUCUAUGAAUAAGUAAUUAGGGUUGUGGGGCAAGUCCCUGUGGUAUGGUGCAAUAAAAUAGAGCCAUUAGGCCAAGUGGAGACAGUGUGGAUUUAUGUGAACAAUUGUCAUUAAGGAAUAUAUAUAUAUAUCUUACUAAUGUAGUAUGGUGGGUUGAGUGUGGAUUAGUGUGAACAGAUGUCAUUAAGGAACCUCUAUAUAUAUAUCUUACCAAUGUAGUAUGGUGGGUUGAUAUGUUAUGGUGGGUUGAGAGUGGAUUAGUGUAAACAGAUGUAUUAAGGAAUGGGUUGAUAUAGUAUGGUGGGUUGAGAGUGGAUUAGCGUAAACAGAUGUAUUAAGGAAUCUCUAUGUAUAUAUAUAUCUUACCAAUACAGUGGUGGGUUGAGUGUGAAUUAGUAAGAACGGAUGUCAUUAUUUUUAUAUACAUAUAUAUCUUAUCAAUGUAGUAUGGUGGGUUGAGUGUGGAUUAAUGUGAACAUAUGUCGUUAAGGAAUAUAUAUAUAUAUAUAUAUAUAUAUAUAUUAAUGUGAACAGAUGACAUAUAUAUAUAUAUAUCUUACCAAUAUCUUAUGAUGAGUUGAGUGUGAAUUAGUCUGAUUGCAACCCAGAAUAGAUGUAGUUAAGGAAUCUAUAUAUAUAUAUAUAUAUCACCAAUGUAGUAAAUGAAGCUUCUUCUUUUCUCUUAUUCUCUUUUCAUUUCCUAUUUCAUCCUCAUAUUUUAUUCUCCUCAAUUCUAAUUCAAUUGUGGUUUGUAUAAAACAUUUUCAUUUGCUCUGGUACUUUAUUUUUUAUUUGUGUUACUUCUCUGUAUUGAUUGUUUACUAUUAUGUUUGUGCUGAUAUUUUUUAAAGAGUUUUUCUUAUAAUUUUUUUUUGUACUAAUUUAUCUUGGUUGAACUUGCUCUAUAGUUGAGUGUAUGAUUUUCAUCAUUUGCUUCCAUCUUUUCAUUAAAAUUCUCUUUGCUUAUUUUUCUUUUAAAAAAAGCUAUUGCAUUACCUUUUGAUUUACUAAAAGAGAUCUCAUUUGUUUACUCCAAAUUAAGUUUAUCAACUUUCUUAAUUGGUGAAGUUAAUUAAUUAAAACUAUUGUUAAGCUAAAGAUUAAUUUAUUAUGCUAAAAAUUUUAACAUGACAAGAUUUUUUUUUUGGUAAAAUCCUUCCAUAUUUUCUUUUCUGUAAAUAUUUUUCUUAACAAAACCCAGAUUUCAUUCACGCUUGCCUUUACAUGAUUUUACAUUGUCAUUUCAUGAAAAACAUAAUUCAAGACUAAUUUUACAAUUAUUUUUAUAAAAUAAUGGGUAGUGAUUGUGACAUUAAUUUUUUUACAAUAAUUGUUUUAAAUUAAAAAUAAAUCAUUUAGUUAAUGUCGCAUCGACGUAAGUAUGAUAAUAAUAAUAAUAACAUAGGUUAUAGAAAAAAUUUUAUUUAAUGAUUAAUAAAAUAUUAAUUAAUUAAUUAAUUUUUUUAAACUAUACAGAUCUCAUCAAAACAAAAUGGAUUUAGAAUAAUUGUGCUCAUAGUACUUGAAUUAUUUGGUGAGUGAUUAAGAUGAAGCUUUUGUAUUUUAUUUAUUUAAUUAUAUAUGAGUAUAAUAUAAUUUUUAUUUAUUUUUUUAUAACAGGAACUAUAAUAUAAUAUAUUAGCAUUUUUGCUUUUAUACAUGUACAUCUAUUUAUUUUUAAAUAUUCAUACUCUAAAUAUCUACUAAUAAUUAUUUAUUAUUUACAAUUAUUUAUAUUCUAAACUUAUACAUUAAUAAAAUCAAAAGAGAGAAGACUAUAAGAAACAUGGAAGGAACUCAGAUAUAUGACACUUCCCUAUAAUUUCUUUGUGUAUUGAAUAUUAGCUUAUUGUUUGCAUGAUAUGUAUUUUUUAUUUUUUCACUUUUUAAGAAUUAUUUUCUUUAUUGAUGUAUUUAUAUUUUGGAAAUUUUUAUUCUUUUAAUAAUUGUUAUAAUUUUGUUUACAUUUUAUAGAUAUGGAUUACUUUUUAUAAUUAAACAUAACAUAUUGAUAACGAUGACCAGUGGUAUUGAAGUAUUGAUUUAUGCCAUUUAUACUCAUAUUUUUAUUAUAUUAUCAGGCAAAUGCAGAAAAGUAUAAAGUUUUUGUACUCCUCUUUUUAUUACACAUUCCAUAUAUUUUCAUAGCAAUUUGAUCUAUUCUUGUUAGAGAGAAUUAAACAAGAAUUUUGUAAUUACAUUAUCUCACCAUCAUUGCAUACAACAUUACAUUUUCUACUACAGUAAGUAUAAUUUUCACUAUUUUUUCACCUUAGUGUCACUUUUAAUUUUAUUAAAUUCUUGAACUAAUUUUAAUUAGUAUACGAGAGUGUAUGUACAUGCAAGAAUAUCAUGUUAUAUGGCAUAAAUUAUUAUAAUAAUAUAUUUAUGUGUUUAUAUUUAAUAAUUCAAUAGAUGGUUCUUCAAAUAAAAAAUGCACAAUCCAUUUCACUUGCAUAGACUUUAAUCAACUUCUUGAGCGUCUGUAGCUGGCUUAUUUUUGGUUUGUUAUUCUUUGAUCUUGAUAUUACGAUAAAUUUUUUUUGAAUCAUUACUUUUUUAUUUUAAUUUAAUAGUGUAUAUUUGUGGUAAUUUUUUUAAAAAAAUUAUUUACUAAACUUACGGAACAAUGUCAGUUUUCUAUUUAUUAUUUUAGUCAAUUAAAAAAUAUAUUGUAAUCGGAUUUUAUUUAUUUACAGAUUCCAUACGGUGUUGGAGCAAGUUUUUAGUUAAUAAAAUUAAUAUUAUAUUUUAUAUAUCGUACUUAAAGACAAACAAAUAAUAUUGAUGAAUUUAUUAGAGAGGAAAAUCAGUUAGAAACAUAAAAUAAUAUUGUCCCUAAUUAUAUCAUUGAUAUCAGUACCAUUUACUAAGAUAUUGAAGAUGAAUUGGAGGAGAAAGAGGAGAGAGAUGUAGCUUGCAUUGAUGCAUCUCUCAUCCUCUUCUUCGUUUUCAAUAUAUUGAUAAAUGAUAUUAAUAUCAAUGACAUAAUUAGAGACGAUAUUGUUUUCUAUUUUUGGCUGAUUUUCCUAACAAAUUCAUCAAUAUUAUUUUCUUGUUUUUGAGUAUUAUAUAUAAAGUAUAAUACUAAUUUUGCUAAUAAAAACAUGCUCCAACACUAGAUGAUGAAAUCUGUAAAUAAAUAAAAUUUGAUUACAAUAUAUUUUUUUAUUGACUAAAAUAAUAAAGAGAAAAAUGACAUUAUCUCGCAGGUUUGGUAAAUAAUUAAAAAAAAAAGCUACCACAAAUAUACACUACUAAAUUAAAAUAAAAAAACAAUAAUUCAAAAAAAAAAACUUAUCGUAAUAUAUAGAUCAGAGUGUAAAAAAAUAAAAAAUAAGCCAGCUACAAACACUCAAGAAGUUCAUUGAAGUCCAUACAAGCGAAAUGGAUUGUGCAUUUUUUAUUUAAAGAACCACCCACUGAAUUAUUAAAUAUAAACAUAUAAAUAUAUUAUUAUAAUAAUUUAUGCCAUAUAACAUGAUAGUUUUGUAUGUACAUACACUCUCAUAUACUAUUAAUAAAAAUUAGUUCAAGAAUUUAAUAAAAUUAAAAGGGACACUAAAGAGAAAAAAAUGAAAAUUAUACUUACGACAAUAGAAAAGGUAAUGCCGUAUGCAAUAAUGGUGACUGUCGAAAUAACGUAUUUAUAAAAUUCUUGUUUAACUCUCUCUAAAAAGAUAUCAAAUUACCAUAAAGAUAUACAGAAUGAGUAAUAAAAAGAGGAAUAUAAAGACUUUACGUCUUUUUGCAUUUACCGAAGAAUAUAAUAAAAAUACGAAUAUAUAAAAAGCAUAAAUCAAUGCUCCAAUGCUACUAGUUAUCAUUGCCAAUGUGUUAUUUUUAAUUAUAAAAGGUAAUCCAUACUAAUAAAAUUAUAAUAAUUAUUAAAAGAGUAAAGAUUUCCAAAAUAUAAAUGGAUUAAUAAAGAAAGUAAUUCUUAAAAGUGAAACAGUACUAAUAGAAAAUACAUACCAUACAAACAAUAAGUUAGUAUUCAAUGCACAAAGAAAUUGUAGGGCAAGUGUCAUAUAUUGAGUUUCUUCCAUAUUUUUUAUAGUAUUCUCUCUUCUGAUUUUAUUAAUUUGACAUUUAUCAAUGUAUAACUUUAGAGUAUAAAUAAUUGUAAAUAAUAAAUAAUUAUUAGUAGAUAUGUAUGUGAAUAUUUAAAAAUAAAUAGUUGUACAUACAUAAAAGUAAAAAUGCUAACAAAUUGUGUUAUAGUUCUAUUACAAAAGAAUAAAUAAAAAUUAUUUAUACUCCUAUAUAAUUAAAUAAAUAAAAUCACAAAAAUUUUAUUUUAAUUACUCUCCAAAUAUCAUGGGUAUAAUUGUCAAUUCUAAAUCCAUCAAAAGAUUUGUAUAGUUAAAAAAAUAAAUUAAUUAAUAUUUUAUUAAUCAUUAAAGAAAAUUUUUUUAUGAGCAUAAUUUGCAUUGAUGCGACAUUAAUUAAAUAAUUUAUUUUUAAUUUAAAAUAAGUAUUGCAAGAAAAAUUAAUGUCAUAACCACUACUAUUAUUUUAUAAAAGUAAUAGUAAAAUUAGUUUUGUAAUAAAAUGUUUAUGGGAAUAUAUUCUCCAUGAAAUGAUAAUAUAAAAUCAUGUAAAGGUAAAGCCUGAAUGAAAUUUUAGUUUUGUUAAGAAGAAUAUUUAUAGAGAAAAAAAUAUAAAAGGAUUUUACCAAAAAGAAAAUAAAAAAAAGAAAAGUCUCAUCAUGUUAAAGGUUUUGGCAUAAUAAAUUAAUUUUUAGCUUAACAAUAAUUUUAAUUAAUUAAUAUUAUCAAUUAAGAAAUUUAUAAAUUUAAAUUGAAGUAAGCAAAGGAGAUCCCCUAAGAAAUCUCAAAAGAUAAUGUAAUAAAAGCAAAAGAGAAUUUUAAUGAAAAGAUGAAAGCAGGGGAUGAAAAUCAUACACUCAAUUAUAGAGUAAUUCCAACUAAGAUAAAUCGGUACAAAAAAAGUUAUAAGAAAAACUCUUUAAAAAAUAUCAGCACACAAAUAACAAUAAACAAUCAAUACAAAGAAAUAACACAAACAAAAAAUGAAGCAUUAGAGCAAAAGAAAAUAUUUUAUAGUUGAGUUAGAGUUAGAAUUGAGUAGAAUAAAAUAUAUGGAUGAAAUAGGGAAUGAAAAGAGAAUAAGAGAAAGGAGAAUGCUUGUUUUACUACAUUGGUGAGAUAUAUAUAUAUAUAUAUAUAUAUAUAUAGAUUCCUUAAUGACAUCUGUUCACAUUAAGCCACACUCAACCUACUAUAUUACAUUGGUAAGAUAUAUAUAUAUAUAUAUAUAUAUAUAUAUAUAGAUUCCUCAAUGACAUCAUUCAACCCACCACUAUAUUUGUAAGAUAUAUAUUCCUUAAUGACAUUUGUUCACACUUAACCCACCAUACUAUAUCAACCCAUCAUACAUACAUUAGUAAGAUAUAUAUAUAUAUAUACACAUAUAUUCCUUAAUGACAUUUAUUCACACUAAUCCACAUUCAACCCACCAUUCCUUAGUGACAUCUGUUCACACUAAUUCACACUGUCUCCACUUGGCCUGAUGGCUCCAUCUUAUUGAACCAUACCACAGGACUUGCCCCACAACCCUUUUUACUUGUUCAUGGUGGAAGACGUAAGCCUAGAGAGUCUGUUCAGCUCACCAACUUGCACAACGUUUCUUUUGUAAGGCCUUUAGGUGUAGCGUAUCUCCAAUAUGAUUCUCUCUAACUUAGCAUUCCAUAUUGUAAUUUAUUUAAGUUUUUGUUGUGAAGUGAGCCGAUUGGAUUGUUAGCUUGUCUAUUCGCAUGCUUGUUAGUUGGUAUUGUAAAACAGACUUGAGAUAACACCUGUAAUCAUUUUUUUUUAUUAUAUUAAUUGAAUACUUUGAAUGUUUUGCUCUUAAAACUAAUAUAGAUAAUUUUAUUGAUUUUGUUCAUAUUAUCAGAACCCAAGAAAUCUUGAAGAUGUAAUUAUUGAUUAUCUUAAUUGAAAUUUUCAUUCUCAAAAUCUUUUUUCUAAGUGUAAUUGUGUGAUGGCUCGUAACAUGUUAGAAGGAGAUUCAAAAAUGGAUCAUAAAGCUAGUUUUCAAUGGAAUUCAAGAUGUUAGAAUUUAGAGUAACUAUGGCUAUUUGAUGAUCUUGCAGAGCUUAGAUCAUCCUGGUAUGUUGUUGAUAUGACUCUCUAAUCUCUCACUGGAAUCAUGGAAAGUGUUAUUGAUUUAUAUAAUAUUUAUUUUCUACUUUAAAUAAUUUAUAUAUUUUUUACUCCAUAUUUUAUAUAUAAUUAUUUUUAAUUAACAUUAAUAAAUAUAUAAAUAUUCAUGAGGAAGCAACCUCAUUUAUAGGUAAUCUUAUAUAUAGAUAUGUAUAAUUCAUUUUUUUAAACUUAUUAAGUCUAUCCAAAAAUAUAUAUAUAUAUAUAUAUAUAUAUAUCUUCUUCAUAAAUAGUCAUCUAAAUUCCAAACAGAAAAUACAAAUAGAGCAAGUGAUGCAGAAUAACAACUAUAUUUAAGAAGAUAUGCAGCAUAUAGUAGAGAAGAUAUUCAAUUAAUGAAAAAGAAAAAGAAAACAAAAAUAAAAAUUUAGAUUAAAUUAUAAAAUUAGAAUUAUUUUUACUAUUUUACUACUAAUAAAAAAAUAUAUGUUCCACAAAUUUUACAUUUUAGUAGAUUGGUUUUACAUGAUAAAAUCAAACAGCCAAAAAAUAAAUUGAUCAAUUAUUUAGGGAAUGGAUUCUCUUAAUAUAUAUAUAUAUAUAUAUAUAUAUAGUAUGACUUUAGUUUGUGGAGAAACUAAUAUAUUGAAAAAAAUGAUAUUUUCAGUUGAUAAGGUAGGUUUUCACACCUUCUACAUGAUUUACUUGUAAAUUUAGAAAUAAUUGACACAUUAAACCAUGUCUACAUGAAAUUCAUUAUAUAUAUGAGGCCUUGUUAAAGUUGUGGAGAGCAACCACAAUCACUCAUUUGCUUAUGCUUUAUUUUUUAAUAUCCACAACCGAAGAGUUUAUAAUAUUUUACUGUGGUUAGAGAUACUGUUAUAUCAAAAUUUCGUUGAAUUUAUAUACUUUCCCUACUAUUUAUGUUUUAUCUUCUCCUUUAUAUUGGUUGAUUUAACUUCUCCUUUAUAUUGGUUGAUUUAAUACUUAAUAUAGAUAUUUACAUGCUCCAGAAUUUCUCUUCCACAUUGUAUAUUUGUAAUCUUUGACAUUAAUUUUGUUUGUCCUCCACACCUAAUUCUAUAAUAAUUUAUAUAUAUAUAACUCAUUUUUUAAAUUAAAUAUUACAGAUUUUAUUGAAAUAUAAUUGUAUUAAUACAAAUUGUAUACGGUUUCAUAAGAUAUUUGGGUGAGUGCAUAAAAUUUAAGUUUAUGAUUUUUAUUUUAUUUUGCAUUAAAUUUGAUAUAAUUUUUAUUUAUUUUUCUUGUGACCGAUUAUCUUUUAUAAGUGAUAAUUUUAUUUAGUUCGUUGUAUGUAAUACAUAUUUAUUUUUAUAUUUUUGUCUUUAAUUUGUUAUUUACUUUUUAAUUAUUUAUUUAUUAAUAUUUUAUAUUUUAAUAAAUUAUUGAUAGAUUUUAAUUAUUUAUUUAGCUAAAUUAUUAAUAGAUCUCACUGAAAAAUAUAAAAUAAAUGGAAUAAUAGGAGAUAUAUUUGUAGUGCAAUAUAUUACUUGUAUAUUAAAAUACAUUGAGAAUGUUCUCAACUCUAUUUUGUAAGCUUAGUAUGUUUCUUUUAAUUUUUCAUAUUUUCUAAUUUAACAUAUAUAAAAUAAUUUACGCUUGAAGUCACCAACUUUGAUUUUAACUUUUUUAUUCUAAUUUAUUCGCAUAUUAUAAAAUUGUUUAAUAUAAAAAUUAAUUAAUUUAUUAAAGAUUUUAAGUCAACAAAAAAGGAAAAAUUAAUUUAUUUUAUAAAUUUUUAACUUUUUAUUAUUUUAUUUUUUAAUUCAAUUAUACAUUAAUAUAAUUUAUGUAAAAUUUUUAUUAUGUAUUACAUGAUAAGUUUUGAGUUUUUAUUUAACUCCUUUGCAAAGAAAGUAAUACAAUACACAAUCGAGAAGUCAUAAAUUUAUAAAAAAAUUUAUCUAACCUCCCCAUAUAUAUAGAAUGUUUCUUUAACUAAGAAAAAUAAGAUAGAAGGAAUUGUCAAAAGAAAAUAUUUGAUUUUACGUCUAUAUGCUAUAGAAGAAUAAUACAUAAAUAUGCACAAUAUGUGCCAUGUACUAUGUACUAGUACUCCUGCAACAGUGGUCAUUGAUAAUGAAAGUUAAUCUUUUAAUAUAAAAGGCAACUUACACUUGUAAAAAGAUUAAAUACAAAUUUUAUAAUUUUACACGAAUGACAUUAAUGUAUAUUUGAAUUAAGAAGCAAAAUGAUAAAAAGUUAAAAUUUUGUCAAAUAAAUUAUUUUUUUUCAUUUUUGCAUUGAGUUAAAUCUUUAAUAAAUUAAUUAAUUUUUAUAGAAAAUAAGCAUUUAUAAAUAUUUCUAUACAUAGGAAUAUAUUUUUUUCCAAUUAGUUUUUUUNNNNNNNNNNNNNNNNNNNNNNNNNNNNNNNNAAGCUUUGCCCCUCUUUUUUAUCUGAAUAAUAUUUGUGCUUAUUAAAGAAAAUGUAAAAAAUACAGAGAUUGAAAAUUUGGGCACCUAACAAUUCAUAAUCCUGAUUCUAAAUACCGAGAAGAAUAUACUAUGAGAAUAUUAUUUUUUUUCUAAGAAAAAAAAUUCUAGCAUUUAAGUUAAAUUAUUCCAAAGAUAAUAUAUAUUGCUAGGGAAUAGUAUUAGUUGAUGAUCGCUGGGUUUCAUCACCUUGGUCUGGGACUAGGUCCACGACACCAGCCCAUUAUCUAGAGGUUCUCAAACCUCAUCACAUGCAUCAAGUCCGGUUCACCCAGUCUGGAGAUCGGACUCCCAUCAAUCUCCCCAACCUUUGGGCCCGAUGAAUAAAAUCCUCUAUAGGUUCAGCCCAUAUCAUAUCGUCCAGUCCGGCUCAGAAUCGGGAAGAAGACCUACCCAUUCUUCACUUGGGACCACCCGUACGAGCGUCUGGAAGAAUCAGGGGCCGUUACGCAUGGGGCAGCGAUCUGAUUUCCUCGUACGUCCAUAUCAACGUGACAGGAACAGAUGGCCCAAUGACACACGUUCUGCUACACGUCACUAGCUGACAAAAGAAAACAUAUAAAAGAGGAGAAAUGUUCUCCUCUAGGCUUAAACUUUUUCCAGUUUUACAGAACCCUUGUAAAAUCCUAUUUUCUGGAUCUCAGCUCAUCAAUUGGCGCCAUCUAUGGGAACGAAGGAGAUCUUUUCAUCUCCGGAGUUCCACUCUGAUAAUACCCACUGAGAUCCACGAUGGCUAACCACAACGAAAACAAUCUUGUCAAUACCCCUAAUGACCUGAGCUCCGCUUAGGAGGGACAACAGUUCUCUUUUUCCAGUCCCACAACACCAAACAACCAAACACCAAUCCCCUUCAACCCCCCGCCAAGCUUGGCAGGGAACGAGCCUGGAGCUGCUCUAUCCAACCAGGACCCUUCAAACCAUGGCCCUCCAACUACAAAAUACCGCCCACUGGUUGGGGCAGAUAAUGUAACAAAGAGGCCUUAACACCCUGGUAAAUGUGUUGCCAGUGGUAGAAGAACCCAGAACCGAUGAACCUCGCCAACCUACCCUCAAUCCUCCUCAAGCAACCAGCCGAGAAACGGAAGAGAGAAGUAGGAGAGUGGGCGGAGAAGUAGAAUCAGAAGCAAGGGUUCACGGAAGGAGAGCGAGGGAGUUGAUUGAGAAUGAUGAAGUAGACAGUUAUUCCGCCGGAACAACUGGGAGAAUGGGGAGCGAGGCAUGGGAGGAGUACCGACAGGAGAAGAAACCCAGGCAGGAGGAGGAGAGCGUAGACCAAAAGCUGCAAAAGAUGAAAGAGCAGCUCUUGGCCGAGCUGGCAGUGAAGGAUCAGAACCAAACUCUCUUGCCCACCUCUUCGCCCUUCUCAAAGUGGGUGCAGCAGGAGACCGUUCCCAAGAAGUUCAUGAUGUCGCCUAUGGCCGCGUACGACGAAGCUGGGAGUCCCCGUGAACACGUCUUGAACUAUAAGACUUUCAUGGAGCUACAAACUCUUUCAAAUGCCUUGAUGUGCAAGGUAUUCCCAACAAUGCUCUCAGGGCCAGCACGGGCGUGGUUCAAUAGCCUCGAGGUUGGAAGUAUCAGCAGCUUUGGAGAUCUGGCCACUCGCUUCAUCAGCUGGUUUAUUGCCGGGGUGCCCGCAGAUAGGAAGACGAGUUACCUGGAGACGAUCAGGCAGAGGAGAGACGAAUCGCUCAGGGAAUACGUCGCUCGUUUCAAUACGGAGGCCCUGCAAAUUCCCGAGCUCGAUGAGGGAAGGGCAGUAGAAGCCAUGCAGAAGGGGACGGCCUCGGCCGAGUUCUUUGGCUCAUUGAGCAAGAAGCCUCCGACCUCACUGGCCCAGCUGAUGAAGCGGGCUGAAAAAUACAUAAGGCAGGAUGAUGCCUUGGUGACAAGCAGGUUCGCCAGGGGAGCGAUAGAUAAGGGGAAAGCACCAGAGGAAGGAAGGCCGGAGAGGCACGAGAAAAAGCAUGGAAAGAGGCCUGAGCCGCACAGACAACCCUGGGAGCGAAGGGACCAAAGACAUCUCCUUCCUCAGGUCUCAGAACAGAGGCCACUCCCUCCGUGGGUUCCAGAGAAGCCGACCCCACUCAGUGCCUCUAGAGCCAAAGUGCUCAUGGCCGUCCAGGACAAGGAGUUCCUCCAAUGGCCCAGGCCUAUGAAAACAGACGCAAACCAGCGAGAUCCUGACAAAUAUUGUCAGUACCAUCGCACGCACGGCCACGACACCAAUAACUGCUUCCAGUUGAUUACAGAGAUCGAGGGGCUGAUAAAAAGAGGAUACCUCAAGAACUUCGUAAAAAAACCGGAGGGACAGAGGCCUCAGCCCAAUCUGGCAGUCCAAGUGCCAAGGAGAAUGGGAGCUGGACCAGUGAAUGAUGGGUCCAGUGGGACCAUCAACAUGAUUGUUGAGGGAACGAGAGGUCGGAUGAGCCGUAGGGGGAAGAAGAGGAGUUGGGAAGGGGAAAGCAACAUCGCCGAGGUCAUGCAGGUCGUCGAGCAUUCACCGGUGGCCAUCACUUUCUCUCUGAAGGAUGCUCAAGGCGUUCAGAUGCCCCAUGAUGACGCCCUUGUCAUUGAAACCGUCAUUCACAAUUACCGAGUCAAGAAGAUCUUAGUGGAUGAUGGGAGCAAGGUGAACCUAUUGCCAUUCCGGGUUUUCCAGCAGAUGGGAAUCCCCGAGGAACAGCUAGUCCUGGAUCAGGCACCGGUCAAGGGGAUCGGGGGAGUACCAGUGCCUGUAGAGGGGAAGGUAAAGCUGGCUCUCACUUUAGGCGAAGUGCUAAGAACUCGCAUCCACUAUACGGUGUUCUUGGUGGUCAAGCUUGCAUUGAGUUACAACGCAAUCCUGGGGAGACCUGCGCUGUUUGACUUUGAAGCCGUCACCAGUAUUAGAUAUCUGGCGUUGAAGUUCCCAACAGAGGCAGGAGUGGGAGUAGUCCGGGGAAGCCAGGAAGAGGCGAGAGCAGUGUACUUAGCCACAGUGGCAGAGCCGAGUUCGACAGCAGAGAGACUUGACUCAGAAGUGCUAGAGGUCAGGGAUGAGGAGAAAGAAACCAGAACAGAGCCGGUGGGGGAACUAGAGACUUUUCCUUUGUCAGAAGCAGAGACAAAUAAGAUCUUCAGUUUCAAUGCCUGCCUCACUGAAGAAUAAAAAACUGAAGUCAUGGCCCUGAUCCGAAGUCACGCAUCGAGCUUCGCCUGGAAGCCUUCCGACAUGCCCGGGAUUGACCCUGAAGUGAUAACCCAUAAGCUAAACGUCCUCCCCGACGCCAGACCGGUGAAGCAGAAGAAGAGGGUGGUAGGAAGGGAGAAGCAACAGGCCACCAGGGAGGAGGUGCGUAAGUUAGAAGAGGCAGACUUUAUUAGGGAAGUCAUGUACCCGCAGUGGUUAGCAAAUCCUGUAUUAGUCAAAAAGGCCAAUGGCAAAUAUAGGAUGUGCAUAGAUUUUACUAACCUGAAUCAGGUCUGUCCUAAAGAUUGUUAUCCCCUCCCUGAUAUUAAUAAAAUGGUCAACUCUACGGCCGGUUUCGAUUACAUGUCUUCUUUGGAUGCUAUGUCUGGCUAUCACCAAAUCCCAAUGGAUAGGUCGGAUGAAGAAAAGACCUCGUUCAUAACAGAAGAUGGGACCUAUUGCUAUCAAGCCAUGCCCUUUGGACUGAAAAACGCUGGGGCAACAUACCAAAGACUGAUGAACAAGAUUUUCAAAGAUUAGAUCUGCAGAAAUGUAGAGGUAUAUGUAAAUGAUAUGGUGGUCAAAAGCCCAACUUUCCAGCAACAUCUCGUAGAUCUGAAGGAGGUAUUUGAGGUGCUAGAACAGUACCAUAUGAAGUUAAACCCGGUGAAGUGCGCUUUCUGCAUCAGGGGAGGAAAGUUCCUAGGAUACAUGGUGAAUGGAAAACGCAUCGAGCCUAAUCCGGAGAAAGUAGAAGUUAUACUGAAUAUGCCUGAGCCAACCUGCGUGAGAGACGUCCAGAGACUUACUGGAAGAGUAGUGGCACUCAAUCGAUUCAUGUCAAGAUCGGCAGAAAAAUGCUUACCGUUCUUUAUAAAAUUGAGGAAAGUGCCGAACUUCGAAUGGACCGAAGAUUGCCGAGAGGCUUUCAAAAAGCUCAAAGGCUAUCUCAGCUCGUCCCAUGUACUCAGUAGCCCCUUGGAAGGAGAAGAACUUCUGAUAUACUUGGUAGCCUCUGAGCAAGCAAUCAGCGCAGUAUUGGUAAGGGUAGAUGAAGGAGAACAAAAGCCAAUGUUUUACGUCAGUAAGGUGCUCAAGGAUGCCGAGAUCAGAUAUCUGAACAUUGAAAAGAUGACGUAUGCUCUGUUGCUAGCAGUCCGAAAGUUUAGAGUCUAUUUGGAAAGCCAUCAGGGUGUAGUGAUGACAAACCAACCUCUGAAGAAGAUUCUGCACAGACCGGAAACCUCAGGUCGGAUGCUUGCUUGGUCCGUUGAGAUUAGUCCUUACUGCCUGAAGUAUCGACCCCGGACUGCUAUAAAAUCUCAGGCCCUGGCUGAUUUCAUAGCAGAGUGCUCAUUCAACGAAGAGCGGGGAGAGCCAUCUUCCGAAGCGUCGGGGAAUGGGAGAGAAGGGGAGCCUUUCCAAGAAUUUAACUGGAAGUUGUAUGUAGACGGGGCAUCAGGCGCUGGGGGCAGUGGCGCCGGAAUAAUGCUCAAGGGACCUGGAGAAUUUAAGGUCUGCUACGCCCUACGCCUGGAGUUCAAGGCCUCCAAUAACGUGGCAGAGUAUGAAGCCUUAAUAAAUGGGAUGCUGGUGGCAAUGGAGGUAGGGGCGACCGACCUCGAAGUGAAUAGUGACUCCCAACUGGUGAUCAAUCAAGUAACUGGGGCGUAUCAGGCCAGAGACCCAACCAUGCAGAAUUACCUAGCAAAGGUAAAAGCCAUAGAAGCCGAGCUCAAGGGUCGGGGAGCCAUCAUCAAAUACCAGAGAAUACCUCGAGAAGAAAACGAAGAAGCAUAUCUGCUUAGUCGGUUAUCUCAGGAAGAACUAGAGCAGCUCCCUGAUGAAGUGUACAUACAACAUGUCAGCACUCCUGCUUUUAAUAAAACAGCAUCUGUGUUGCAGGUAGAACAAAGCUAGACCUGGAUGACCCCGUACCUGGAAUAUCUGGAAAAAGGAAAGCUUCCUGAAGACAAGGAUGAAGCAAGAAAGAUAGCAGCUCGCGCGGCUAAUUACCAAGCAGUAAAGGGGACCUUGUACAGAAGGGGGAAGUCUAGCUCAUGGCUCUGGUGUGUGAGCCCGGAUGAGGCAAUAAAGGUGAUGGAAGAGAUACACAUGGGCAUAUGCGGAGCUCACGAAGGAGCAAGAACACUGGCCAAUAAAAUAUUCAGGCAAGGGUACUACUGGCCCACUGUUAAAAAAGAGGCAGAAGAGUUUGUCCGGAAAUGCGAUGUAUGCCAGAGGUUUGCCAACGCCAUCAAUAUCCCAACCCCUCCUCAGUCCAGCAUAUCCAGCCCGUGGCCGUUCUCACAAUGGGGAAUAGACAUUCUGGGACCCUUUCCCAAAACCACAGGGCAGAAAAAGUUUGUAGUAGUGGCUGUGGAGUACUUCUCUAAAUAGCCAGAGGCGGAGGCAAUUCCCACGAUCACAGCCCGCCAGAUGAUAGAUUUUGUAUGGGGACACAUCAUCUGUAGAUUUGGCAUACCCAGGGUGCUCAUCUCAGACAAUGGCAGACAAUUUGACUGCAGCGCCUUCAAAGCGUUCACGGCAAACAUGGGCAUAUGGCACAAGUUCUCCUCAGUGGCCCAUCCUCAGACCAACGGUCAAACAGAGGUCACCAACAGAGCUAUCCUCCAAGGAUUUAAGAAACGGCUGGAUGGGGUCAAGGCGAACUGGGCGGAAGAGCUCAACAGCAUCCUGUGGGCACUCCGAACUACCCCUAGAACGUCCACUAAAGAAACGCCCUUCUCACUUGCUUUUGGCAUAGAGGCCGUAGUCCCAGUCGAGCUACAAAUCCCCACUCAUCGAGUCUAAUUUGCCAACGAGAGCGCUAGCGAUGACAAGUUAAGGAGCAACCUGGAUGCUCUCGAAGAGGUUAGGGAGGAAGCUCAAGUCCGAACUGCCGCUUAUCAACAGCGGGCAGCCCGUUAUUACAACCAAAGGGUUAGGGAAAGAAGCCUAAAGGUGGGAGACCUAGCCCUAAGAAACCUCGAGGCUACGGGAAAAAGAGCGGCAGUAGGCAAGUUGGCACCAACCUGGGAGGGCCCCUUCAGAAUAGCAAAAGUGGUCAAGUCAGGAGUAUACCGAAUUGAAGAUAUGCAGGGAAACCCUGAGCCCCAUGCCUGGAAUAUCCAGCACUUGAAAAGGUACUUCCCCUGAGGUAUCGUCAAAUGUAAAAGACCUAUUGUAUCUUAAAGCAUGAUAAUAAAAUAGACGGUGAUUAUCGUCCCUAUUCAUUAUUUGUUUCUACUCACAUUGCUUUCAUGAAAGAAACAAAAAAAAAAAAAAAAGGAAAGAGGCAUAGAUGUCCAAGACCUCAGUUAGGUAGGUGGCCGGGCUCCUAAAAGGCCCCCGGCACCACAAAACCGGCUGAGAUGAUGAAGCGACAGUAAGGCCAAUGAGCCCGAACCUUGCGCAAGAUCUCAAAAUGGCCAGCGGGAUCACCAAGGUCUCCCUGGAGCAAAAACGGCCGGCAGAAUCACCAAGAUCUCCCCGGAGCAAAAACGACCAGGAUCCCGUAAGAUCUCCUGGAGCAAAAACGGCCGGCGGGAUCACCAAGAUCUCCUCGGAGCAAAAACGGCCAGGAUCUCGUAAGAUCUCCUGGAGCAAAAACGGUCGGCAGGACCUCUAAGAUCCUCCCCGAACAAAAACGGCCAGGAUUCCUGAAACGCAACCCGUAUAAGGCUCGUCAAAGAAAGCAAGAAAUUAAGUAUUGACUUCACAGUGAGGAAGCCGAAAUUCUGAACUCCUGAGCUCGACACACAUAUAGCAAAAAGCUUAUGCAAAGAAUAAAAAUCCGAGCUCCUUAAUCCGUUGAAUGAACGGACUCACGACAAAAGCAAGAAACCCUGCCCACAGCUCGGAUUAACUCACAGUAAACAAACACUUAGCAAAAAUGACCCUGGGAGAGAAAAAUGAUAAAGAAAGCUGGACUCCCCACCCCAGUGGAGCAUACAUCCCAGACCGCACCGACUGACAAAGGGUCACUUCCAGAGGGACCAGAUAUCCGAGCUCAUAACCAGAAAGAAAGGUAACAUCGUCUAAAAUGAAGCCGCACAGUUACAAAUAAAAGCCUGAGGAUUUACCCCCUCACCACUCAUGUAAUAAAUGCUGAGGAGGUAAAGGGGCAAUCCGAGGAGAAAUCCAAUGGCGUGAACAGAUGAGACCCCAACUUCAAUCUAGCAAAUCAGAACUAAAAGCAAAAAGGCCAGCCCUGCUCAUCAUCUCUAAAGGUACAUGAUCUAACUUAUUGUUAUUAAGCAAAGGUCGUAUGCCCGAGCUCAUAGUAAUGAAGUAAUAAGAGAAAAAUGAUGAUGUCCUUACAAGAAUCAUAAAAGCUCAUAGGUCGAAAGUUCAGCCUACUGUUAAAAACAGAGCUCACGGGUACGGCUAGUCCAGCUCGGAAAGAGCUUGUGGAUAAGAAUGCCUUAGCGAAAUAGAUAAAGUUAUAAGCCAAAAGUUCAGUCAAUUUAUAGAAUUUUAGUUCUGGUGAGCUUGAAGGCAAAAAGAGAAAAACAAGCAAAAUAAAUGAAAAUGAAAUUUCAUUCAAAGAAAAAGAAGAUUUGCAGUCUAAUCACCCACUCUAUUGAAGGAAAAACUGUCCUCAAAGGACUUACAUGCCUAGGUACAUUAUCAUCUACAUUUACAUCACUAUCACCUACACUAUUUUCUUAGCUUUCAAUUCAGGAAGAAUCCUUACAGUUCGGAAGAUGAGCUUCGCGAGUCUGUUGGAUCCCCCCUUUUUGUAGCUCGGCAGACUCCCUAUACUCCCUUAGACGCUCCUUACAUUCCAGCUGAACUCUAUCUCGAUAUUAUAGGAGAACUGAACAAGUUGAUACCCAUAAGCAUCUCUUACUGUUCCAUCAUAUGUUGUGUGUAUAUCACGCAUGAAAAACAUAAGUCUUCAAGUUAAAGUCCCGGGAAGGUCAGCAUUGUCACUGAAAAAAUUAUCUCGAUUGGCUACUGAAUGAACAAAACAUUCCACGGGAUUCAUGCGGGUUAAAAAAGAACCUUCAACGACAGUAGAGGGGAUAUAACACUUGGCAAGUUCAGUUGCAUCAUCCCCUUUUUGCUUAUUCAAAGCAGCACAAAGAAAUUGGCGAGGCAUUCUGAAGGGCAAUGGAACAACUAAACUCUAGAUAUCACGAAACACAUGUUUGAAAGCAUCAAUAGAAGCUCGAUUGAGUGCAGCAAAUCUCUGUUUCUCAUAGCACAAGCGCUCUAUAUCAAAAUUCUGACACGAACCCACCAUGAGCUGCUUUAUGUUACAUGUGUGAACUGCAUCUUGUAUUCCAUAAUAAAUCUCAGAAAUUAUGUUAUUCCGUGAGUUUGAGUCCGGAGUAGACAUCAGGGGCACCACGAGAACCUUCUCGUCCCUCCCGAGAGGAAGAAAGGCAGGAACCGAUCUUCUAGAAGCCUAAGACUUAUUUGGAAUGCGAACUAGGACAGGCACUUCGGGGAGAACGGGACGCUUGUCCCCGACUUUCUCCGCUACACCCCAUCAUCUACAAAAAUGAGUUCCCUCUCCUCGGUAGCUGAGCUGACCUCGGGAAAGGCCCCAUGAACAUUCCCCGCAGAGGCAAGCUCAGUCCUACUUGCAAGGACCCCCUCCUCAGCUAUGGAGGCCUCAAGCCUCUCUCCAGAAGUAUCGCCAGAUGGCGGGGCAGGCUUCGCCCCCAUCAACUCGGAGUCCUCGCGCGGCCUUGAAGUUUGAGGAGACCUGAGAGCUUGAACAACUAGAGCGACUGAGACCGACCUGCCGCCGCUUGGCGGCCUUGAAGAUUUGGCACCUCGAGAGCUCGACAUCGGAGCUUGGGCAAGAGCAAGAGAAGGAGGUCGGCCGGACGACCUGGACAAUAUGACUUCGGCCACUUGUUAGGUAACCCCCCUCACCGAUCGCCCUACUAGGAGGGCGUCCGAGGCAACAUUCAGGCUCCCCCUGAGUAGCGUAAGAAUCUUAGGGGACUUAAGCUGAUCCAUCUUCAUCUCAGAAACUGCAAAAAAUCCAAAAUCGGGGCAAUUCAGAACGAUUCUCAGUAAAAAUCACAAAAGCAAGACUAAAACAGACCUCCAUGAGAGACAAAGUAAUAAAAUGUUCGGCUCGCCUUGACCAGUCCGGACAUCGAACAAGCGCCCUGUGGACGUAAAACGCCCGCUCAGACAGAUAGAUUCGAAAGAAAAUAUGAAAAGAAUGAAAUUAGGGAUCAACACUCGAGAAGCAAUCUCGAAAUAUUAGAAAACCCCGUGAAAGAAAGGAGAUAAGGGAAAGGGUAUACCAUACACUUUCUGUUUAACAGAGAAAACUGAGCGCACGUCUUUCUGAGGAUCGAUUAUACUGGAGGUAUGUGGAUCGGGAAGGGAGAUCCUCUCAUUCCGGUGAGGGUCCCGAAGGUGAAAAGGGAGGUGAUAUCAAGAUACACCCUGAGAAUGAGGUUUUUAUACCGAAUGGAGUGAUGCUAGACUCUAGGAUAGCGGUACCAGGAUCCUUAAAAGCUAUUCAUGGAAAAGGAAGAAAAGCGUACCUUGAAGAUAAAAGCAGGGAAAUGAAGAUGGCAGAGUGCACAAAGAAUAGAGGAAAGCCGGAAGUAGAAAAAGACAGAGAGGAUUCGAAAGUCAAAACGACAAUUAGGUGAAAGGGCGUUAUGAGGCAAGCUGUAUAUCAACAGGCGCGGUCAUAAUGAUUUUCGGUAUUUACCCCCUCAUCAGUUGGGCAAUAACUGACGAGAAGGUAAAGGGGCAAUUGAUGACCGCUGGGUUUCAUCACCCUGGUCUGGGACUAGGCCCACGACACCAGCCCAUCAUCUAGAGGUCCUCAAGUUUCAUCACAUGCAUCAAGUCCGGUCCACCCAGUCUGGAGAUCGGACUCCCAUCAAUCUCUCCAAUCAGGCCGGCCUAGACCUUUGGGCCCGAUGAAUAAAAUCCUCUAUAGGUUCAGCCCAUAUCAUAUCGUCCGGUCCGGCUCAGAAUCGGGAAGAAGACCUACCCAUUCUUCACUUGGGACCACCCGUACGCGCGUCUGGAAGAAUCAGGGGCCGUUACGCAUGGGGCAGCGAUUUGAUUUCCUCGUACGUCCAUAUCAACGUGACAGGAACAGAUGGCCCACUGACACACGUUCUGUUACACGUCAUUAGCUAACAAAAGAAAACAUAUAAAAGAGGAGAAAUGUUCUCCUCCAGGCCUAAGCUUUUUCCAGUUUUAUAGAACCCUUGUAAAACCCUAUUUUCUGGAUCUCAGCUCAUCAUUAGUAAAAGAAGUAAACUCACAAUGUGUCCACAAUUUAAUAAAUGAGAAUUAAAAAAACAUACCAGGUUUAACAGUUACGAUGGAGAACAUUAUUAAUAUAUUUUAGUCUAGAAAUAAUAUAUAUAUUGGACUAAAGACAUGUUUCAUGUUAUUUUAUUUCUUUUAAUUUUUCUUACUGAAAAUCCAUAAUGGUUUAUUAAAAUAUAAAAUAUUAGCAAAUAAAUAAUAAAUUACUGUCGGCCAACAUAAAAAAAAUAAAAAAAAUAAAUAUAUGAUAAAUACAAAAAAGCAUACAAAUUAUCACUAGUAAAAAACAACCAAUCACAAGAAAAACAAUUAAAAAUUAUGUCAAAAUUUAAAUAAUAAAACUAAAUAUUUUCAAUUUACACAAUUAUAAUUAAGAGAAUUAAAUUAAAUUUAAAAAAUUUAAUGAUAGAUUAUAAUAUAAUAUUUAAAAUAUUAUAUUAUUAAAAAUAGUCUUUUAAUUUAAAAAAAGUAAUA
RNAcentral lists this long non-coding RNA (21540 nucleotides) under Manihot esculenta (cassava). RNAcentral's name for it is "long non-coding RNA (MESC_LNC011628)". The record is from RNAcentral. Lineage: Eukaryota; Viridiplantae; Streptophyta; Magnoliopsida; Malpighiales; Euphorbiaceae.